CCCAAAGGUGCAAUUCUGAAGUUUCCAUUUGCCAUGAAAGGAAGAGGAGGGAGAAGUCUCAUCCUGAUGGCUCAAAACUGGAGAAUGGCCAGGGAAGGUGAAAAGGGGAGAAACUUUACUCCAGACUAGGGAAGAAAUCAGGUUGAGUUAGGAAGGCAUGAUAUCAUUGGUGAAUGGGAAAGAGUCCAGGUGUAGAGCGGGCUCCAGAAAGCUGAGAGCAGAAUGUAGGCAUAGCUUCAGGUGUGGCUUGAUCCAGCUCUCCAUCUCUCAGCUUUUAGUGUUAUUGACUUUCUUCUCUGUCUUCUUAUGCUGUUCAUGGGACAGAAGAAAAAUAACAACAAACAGGAGGCAGGAUGGAUGGAAGAAAUCUGGGGAAAGGGAACUGCAUUCUAAACCCAGAUCACCUUUGAGGAUUCUCCCAGAGAAAAGUAUGAGACUGUUUCUGAGCUUGAGCCUUGAGACUUUCUGGUCUCAUUUUACAGGACAGAAAAAACCCAGAAACCACCACUAGAACGAGAUUCCUGAACUCCAAAACCGGGUAACAGAAUGUACAUUAAUCUGGAUCCCUCGUAUGGGAUAAAUAUCCUGGACAGGCUGAAGAGCUCAUAUAUAUGAAAUUGGUGUACAGGAUUAUGGAGAGCCAAUGGAGAACCAGGAGAGCCAAUGC
RNAcentral lists this long non-coding RNA (667 nucleotides) under Fukomys damarensis (Damara mole-rat). RNAcentral's name for it is "lncRNA (ENSFDAG00000033015.1)". The record is from RNAcentral. Lineage: Eukaryota; Metazoa; Chordata; Mammalia; Rodentia; Bathyergidae.